GGGGCUGGGUGCUCUACCCUGUGCGAGGAACUCCGCGCAGUCUCCCAUAGAAGCUUCUCAGCAGCCUCGCAGCGGGGGCAUUCUGCUAACUGUGUGGGGGAGAGGACUGUGAGGAGAUUCCCCCGGAUGCUGUGCUUUCCCCCACAGAGGUGGGAAGGCCGCAGAGACCUUGAAACAGGCAGGCGACAGGAGAGAGAAAACAUCAUCUCCGCAGUUUAGGAAGACCAUGGUGUAGCUGUUUGGAUGGACUGGAGAAGCCAAGAGCGAGUCACUCAGAAGGAAAGGCUGAUUUCGGCGCGUGGACACACAGCUACAUCGCCGUGGGAAGAAAGUGCAGGUGUGCACGGCCGCCAGAAGGAAGGCGUGUCCAGUAAAGCGGGAGGCCAGUCCCCAGGUGCUCCGACACCCCAUUUCCGGGUGCACCCCACCGUCUUCUUCACGGCAGUAUUGUUCUGGACCUCCUGAGCUUGCUGCUGAACAGAGCUGAGAGCGGUGCCUAGCACUCACAUGUAGUGAACACUCGACUAUUUACUGAGUGAAUACAUGAAUGUUACGGAACAAAACCCAGUCUUUCUUUUUCUUUCUUUUUGACUGCUAGGCCUAAGUCCCUAUUCAUCCUGCAUUUAUGAAUAUUUUUAAUAACAAAAGAAAUACAUGCUGACUCUAGAAAAGCUAAUUAGAAAAUACAGUUGAUCAAAAAACAAAAAUAAGGGGUGCCUGGCUGGCUCGGUCAGAGGAGCCUGUGACUCUUAAUCUCGGGAUGGUGAGUUCAAGGCCCACGUUGGGUACAGAGACUGCUUUAAAAAAAAAAAAAAAGAAUCCCAUGCGGUCUUCCUGUCCAGCCAUAACCACUGGUGUUAACAAUUUGCCAUUAGAUCCUCCCAGGCACCCCUCUAAGCAAACCCACUGAAAUAGCAGUCAAGACAUAUGGUUUGGGGACUGGUUUUAUUUUUCCUUUUCACUUAAUAAUCCUGUGGAUGUGUCUCCAUGUCAUUGAAAUAUUUUCUAAGAUGUUUUUAGACUUUACUAGUCACUAUUUUAAUUUUACUAUUAAGCUGUGUGAUAGAUUUACUCUUUCAUCAUUUAUAUGUGUUUGUAAUUCCAUUGAAGGGAUGUUCCGUAAGCAAACCUUGUAUAAUGUAAAAGGCGAACAUUAACAAAAAU
RNAcentral lists this transfer RNA (1164 nucleotides) under Ursus maritimus (polar bear). RNAcentral's name for it is "lncRNA (ENSUMAG00000024367.1)". The record is from RNAcentral. Lineage: Eukaryota; Metazoa; Chordata; Mammalia; Carnivora; Ursidae.